UGUAAAGAAGCAAUAUGCCCUAAGUUUCGGCCUUAGUAACGAGAAUUAUCUCCUUUAUAA
Molecule: transfer RNA, 60 nt
Filed under: Deroceras reticulatum
Lineage: Eukaryota; Metazoa; Mollusca; Gastropoda; Stylommatophora; Agriolimacidae
Description: tRNA-Arg
Source: RNAcentral